GGGUUUGUGUAUUGAACUGUGGCUCUCAAACUUUAGCAUCCAUCAGAAUCACCUGAAGUGCUUGCUCAUUGAAAGGCUGUUUCCUGGACACUACUCUCACAGUUUCUUUU
This 110-nucleotide microRNA precursor is filed under the name Fukomys damarensis (Damara mole-rat). Its description in RNAcentral is "miRNA (ENSFDAG00000002886.1)". Lineage: Eukaryota; Metazoa; Chordata; Mammalia; Rodentia; Bathyergidae. The record is from RNAcentral.